Molecule: non-coding RNA, 91 nt
Organism: Mycena polygramma
Lineage: Eukaryota; Fungi; Basidiomycota; Agaricomycetes; Agaricales; Mycenaceae
Source: the annotation of a GenBank genome assembly
GUCUUCGUGGAUCAUGGUAGAUCGCCCAGCUACUGUACUUCGCUUCGAAGAACAUUCUUGGGAGGUGGCGGUUCGACUCCGCCCGAGGACA